Molecule: small RNA, 67 nt
Filed under: Sinorhizobium meliloti 2011
Lineage: Bacteria; Pseudomonadati; Pseudomonadota; Alphaproteobacteria; Hyphomicrobiales; Rhizobiaceae
Description: putative ncRNA
Source: RNAcentral
GGAAGUUCUUUGGAAUCAGCAACUAAGCGCUGCUGGCGGCGCGCCGGCCCGCGCAGCGACGCCUCUC